RNA transcript from Cataglyphis hispanica, 1168 nucleotides. It is a transcript of the gene named osteoclast-stimulating factor 1-like, with no coding region annotated. NCBI's taxonomy places the organism in Eukaryota, Metazoa, Arthropoda, Insecta, Hymenoptera, Formicidae. The record is from RefSeq and is a predicted model, not a curated record. The transcript is spliced from 7 exons.
AUUGUCACCUAUAUCUGUACAUGAUACUACAUACUUAUUAUUGAACAAAGCGCAUAUUUUUUUCGUGCCUUUGUUUAUUAGACAAAUUGGCUAAAUGACUCAAAUAUCUAAGCUAGAAAUUAAUAUUAAGCGACUUUUAACACGUUGCGAAUUAAUAGCUAAAGAUGAUCCACAUAAAGACUGGAAACUCGAAAAGUAUAUACUUGCUCUGGAUGACAUGAUAAACAAAUUGCAAACUUUACCAAAUAAACCAUCCAAAGAUAUUAUGAUAAGCUACACUAAACGGAUAGAUUUUUUGAAUGGAAUAAUAAAUGCAACGAAAUUAUCAAACCUAGUAGAGAGAGUGAUCGCUGCACAAUUAUUAUCAAAAAACUCAACUUCUAUAAACGAUUCUACCAAUACAAACAUCACAACACAAAUACAUCAAAAAACCAUAGCAAAAUAUAAUCGGGAAUUACGGGCGGAGUUAUUUCACACUGACAAAACUACAAAUAGAGAUGGUGUACGACAAAGAUCAUCAAAUUCUAACAUCCAAGAUGAAGAUUUAGAUGCUAUUUUAAAGUACAAUCGUAAUAUUCAGGAGAAAAUUGCUGAGAAUAUGCUUUCCAUGACCAGCAAUAUGAAGGAACAAGCAUUAACAGCAAAUGCUAUCAUAAAAAAGGACAUUGGUGCAUUGGAAACAGCUGACAAAUUGACUGAUAUUAAUGCUGUUAAAUUAAAGAAGGAAUCUCUAAAGUUAGAAGAGCACACUAACUCGAAGUGGAGAUGUUGGGUGUGGCUUAUGAUAGCUUUUGUUUUGGUUGUAUUUUUUAACAUGGUAUUAUUUAUGAAAGUGGCAAGAAAGAAGAUGUAGACAAUAACUUUUGAGUUUGAAGAAUUUUUCAUUACAUGAAAUGCUAUGUACAUCACUGUGAACUCAAUCAUGUGAGUCAUUGGAUUGAUAUUAUGAUGCUAGAUUUACACACAGCCAUGAGUGUACUUUUAAAAACAUCUGUACCACCUAAAACCUCCUGGAAACCUGGUAAGGUGAAAGUGGUCAGGGCAUUAUGCAAAUACAAUGCGCAACGUACAGAAGAAUUGUCUUUCGAUGAAGGAGAUCUACUAUAUGUUUAUGAAAGAGAUACUAAUCCAGACUGGUGGAGGGCUAAAUGCAGAGAUCAAAAAGGAC